Molecule: long non-coding RNA, 370 nt
Organism: Phragmites australis (common reed)
Lineage: Eukaryota; Viridiplantae; Streptophyta; Magnoliopsida; Poales; Poaceae
Exons: 3
Source: RefSeq, a predicted model, not a curated record
CGGGUGUUUGUUAUGAGCCGAGUCGAUUUUCUUCCACCCGCGGCGUGUUUUCGUGUGAGGUCACUUCAAAUCCUGUGCUUUUUGUUUCUCGCGCCGGGAAAAUGAGCAGCUCUCCAAGUACGGUGAUACAAAAUAUGCAAGAGCAAUAAUGCUUGUUGACCUGAAGAAGCUGAUUGAAGCUAACCCCUUAUUCUGUGACAAGCUUCAGUUUCCCAACCUGAAGAAUUCCAGAUUGCGUACACUUAUCAACCAGAGGGCGUUUUUCUGUGUUUGGAGGUGCAACACUUUUCCAGUAUAUUUUCCCUCAAUCAGUGUAUUGCUUCAUUGUCAUUUUCAGCGUGUAAUAUGGACACGAGGGUCCUUCUCACUU